This 1390-nucleotide ribosomal RNA is filed under the name uncultured bacterium. RNAcentral's name for it is "bacterial SSU rRNA". It matches the Rfam family "Bacterial small subunit ribosomal RNA", at positions 29 to 1393 of the family's 1533-position model. The record is from RNAcentral.
AUGAACGCUGGCGGCGUGCCUGAUACAGGCAAGUCGGACGGGCCGGCUGAGGGGGGAAGCCCUGGAGGGGGCGGAGGGCGAGAAAUCGUCGGAGGUCUCCGAGGGGGUGGAGCCCCGGGGGCCGGUCAGUGGCGAACGGGUGCGUAACACGUGGGUGAUCUACCCCGAAGUGGGGGAUAGCUGGUCGAAAGGCCAGGUAAUACCGCAUGAGCUCCGCGAGGAGGAAAGGGGGGAUUUCCUCCCGCUUUGGGAUGAGCCCGCGGCCGAUUAGCUAGUUGGUGAGGUAAUGGCUCACCAAGGCGACGAUCGGUAGCUGGUCUGAGAGGACGGCCAGCCACACUGGAACUGAGACACGGUCCAGACUCCUACGGGGGGCAGCCGCAGGGAAUAUUGCACAAUGGGCGCAAGCCUGAUGCAGCGACGCCGCGUGAGCGACGAAGGCCUUCGGGCUGUAAAGCUCUUUUCUGAGGGAUGAGGGAGGACAGUACCUGAGGAAGAAGCCUCGGCUAACUACGUGCCAGCAGCCGCGGUAAGACGUAGGAGGCGAGCGUUAUCCGGAUUUACUGGGCGUAAAGGGCAAGUAGGCGGUGGUCAAAGUUGGGCGUGAAAGCUCCCGGCUCAACCGGGAGAGGUCGCUCAAAACUAGGCCACUAGAGGGCAGGAGAGGGGGGCGGAAUUCCUGGUGUAGCGGUGGAAUGCUCAGAUACCAGGAGGAACACCGGUGGCGAAGGCGGCCCCUGGACUGCGCCUGACGCUGAGAGGCGAAAGCUAGGGGAGCGAACGGGUUUAGAUAUCCCGGUAGUCCUAGCCCUAAACGUUGGAUACUGGGUAGCGGGGGGUUGAAAUCUCCCGGUGCCGAAGCUAACGCGUUAAGUAUCCCGCCUGGGGACUACGGCCGCAAGGUUAAAACUCAAAGGAAUUGACGGGGGCCCGCACAAGCAGCGGAGCGUGUGGUUUAAUUCGAUGCAACACGAAGAACCUUACCUGGGCUUGACAUGCGCGUAGUAGGGAACCGAAAGGGGACCGAGCCUUCGGGCAGCGCGCACAGGUGCUGCAUGGCUGUCGUCAGCUCGUGCCGUGAGGUGUUGGGUUAAGUCCCCCAACGAGCGCAACCCCUGUUGCCAGUUGCAGGUUUCUGGCGAGACUGCCGGCAUAUAACCGGAGGAAGGCGGGGAUGACGUCAAGUCAGCAUGGCCUUUAUGUCCAGGGCUACACACACGCUACAAUGGCCGGUACAAAGGGGGGCGAAGCCGCGAGGCGGAGCGAAUCCUCCAAAGCCGGUCUCAGUUCAGAUUGCAGGCUGCAACCCGCCUGCAUGAAGUCGGAGUUGCUAGUAACCGCCGGUCAGCCAUACGGCGGUGAAUACGUUCCCGGGCCUUGUACACACCGC